CGUAGGGUGCGAGCGUUAAUCGGAAUUACUGGGCGUAAAAGCGUGCGCAGGCGGUGCACCAAGCUCGAUGUGAAAGCCCCCGGGCUUAACCUGGGAAUUGCAUUGAGGACUGGUGUACUCGAGUGCGGCAGAGGGGGGUGGAAUUCCACGUGUAGCAGUGAAAUGCGUAGAGAUGUGGAGGAACACCGAUGGCGAAGGCAGCCCCCUGGGCCGACACUGACGCUCAUGCACGAAAGCGUGGGGAGCAAACAGGAUUAGAUACCCUGGUAGUCCACGCCCUAAACGAUGUCAACUGGUUGUUGGGGAAGGAAACUUCCUUAGUAACGAAGCUAACGCGUGAAGUUGACCGCCUGGGGAGUACGGCCGCAAGGUUA
RNAcentral lists this ribosomal RNA (374 nucleotides) under uncultured organism. Its description in RNAcentral is "bacterial SSU rRNA". It matches the Rfam family "Bacterial small subunit ribosomal RNA", at positions 526 to 896 of the family's 1533-position model. The record is from RNAcentral.